GAUGAACGCUGGCGGCGUGCCUAAUACAUGCAAGUCGAGCGAACAGAUGAGGAGCUUGCUCCUCUGACGUUAGCGGCGGACGGGUGAGUAACACGUGGAUAACCUACCUAUAAGACUGGGAUAACUUCGGGAAACCGGAGCUAAUACCGGAUAAUAUAUUGAACCGCAUGGUUCAAUAGUGAAAGACGGUUUUGCUGUCACUUAUAGAUGGAUCCGCGCCGCAUUAGCUAGUUGGUAAGGUAACGGCUUACCAAGGCAAUGAUGCGUAGCCGACCUGAGAGGGUGAUCGGCCACACUGGAACUGAGACACGGUCCAGACUCCUACGGGAGGCAGCAGUAGGGAAUCUUCCGCAAUGGGCGAAAGCCUGACGGAGCAACGCCGCGUGAGUGAUGAAGGUCUUCGGAUCGUAAAACUCUGUUAUUAGGGAAGAACAAAUGUGUAAGUAACUAUGCACGUCUUGACGGUACCUAAUCAGAAAGCCACGGCUAACUACGU
RNAcentral lists this ribosomal RNA (496 nucleotides) under uncultured bacterium. RNAcentral's name for it is "partial 16S ribosomal RNA". It matches the Rfam family "Bacterial small subunit ribosomal RNA", at positions 28 to 506 of the family's 1533-position model. The record is from RNAcentral.